RNAcentral lists this ribosomal RNA (500 nucleotides) under uncultured bacterium. RNAcentral's name for it is "partial 16S ribosomal RNA". It matches the Rfam family "Bacterial small subunit ribosomal RNA", at positions 30 to 523 of the family's 1533-position model. The record is from RNAcentral.
AUUGAACGCUGGCGGCAGGCCUAACACAUGCAAGUCGAGCGGAUGACGGGAGCUUGCUCCUUGAUUCAGCGGCGGACGGGUGAGUAAUGCCUAGGAAUCUGCCUGGUAGUGGGGGACAACGUUUCGAAAGGAACGCUAAUCCCGCAUACGUCCUACGGGAGAAAGCAGGGGACCUUCGGGCCUUGCGCUAUCAGAUGAGCCUAGGGCGGAUUAGCUAGUUGGUGGGGUAAUGGCUCACCAAGGCGACGAUCCGUAACUGGUCUGAGAGGAUGAUCAGUCACACUGGAACUGAGACACGGUCCAGACUCCUACGGGAGGCAGCAGUGGGGAAUAUUGGACAAUGGGCGAAAGCCUGAUCCAGCCAUGCCGCGUGUGUGAAGAAGGUCUUCGGAUUGUAAAGCACUUUAAGUUGGGAGGAAGGGCAGUAAGCUAAUAUCUUGCUGUCUUGACGUUACCGACAGAAUAAGCACCGGCUAACUCUGUGCCAGCCGCCGCCGUAA